Molecule: ribosomal RNA, 449 nt
Filed under: uncultured bacterium
Lineage: Bacteria
Description: bacterial SSU rRNA
Rfam family: Bacterial small subunit ribosomal RNA
Source: RNAcentral
CUCUGUGACUCCUACGGGAGGCAGCAGUGGGGAAUAUUGCACAAUGGGCGCAAGCCUGAUGCAGCAACGCCGUGUGAGUGAAGAAGGUUUUCGGAUCGUAAAACUCUGUCCUAAGGGAAGAACAAAUGACGGUACCUUAGGAGGAAGCCCCGGCUAACUACGUGCCAGCAGCCGCGGUAAUACGUAGGGGGCAAGCGUUAUCCGGAAUCACUGGGCGUAAAGGGUGCGUAGGCGGCUUAGCAAGCCAGGGGUGAAAGGCAUUGGCUCAACCAAUGUAAGCCUUUGGAACUGUUAAGCUUGAGUGCAGGAGAGGUAAGUGGAAUUCCUAGUGUAGAGGUGAAAUUCGUAGAUAUUAGGAGGAACACCAGUGGCGAAGGCGACUUACUGGACUGUAACUGACGCUGAUGCACGAAAGCGUGGGUAGCGAACAGGAUUAGAUACCCUGGUAG